RNAcentral lists this ribosomal RNA (252 nucleotides) under uncultured bacterium. RNAcentral's name for it is "partial 16S ribosomal RNA". It matches the Rfam family "Bacterial small subunit ribosomal RNA", at positions 525 to 776 of the family's 1533-position model. The record is from RNAcentral.
ACGGGGGGAGCAAGCGUUGUUCGGAUUUACUGGGCGUAAAGGGCGCGUAGGCGGCGCAACAAGUCACUUGUGAAAUCUCCGGGCUUAACCCGGAGCGGCCAAGUGAUACUGUCGUGCUAGAGUGCGGAAGGGGCUACUGGAAUUCUCGGUGUAGCGGUGAAAUGCGUAGAUAUCGAGAGGAACACCUGCGGCGAAGGCGGGUAGCUGGGCCGACACUGACGCUGAGGCGCGAAAGCCAGGGGAGCGAACGGG